Molecule: transfer RNA, 81 nt
Filed under: Dreissena polymorpha
Lineage: Eukaryota; Metazoa; Mollusca; Bivalvia; Myida; Dreissenidae
Description: tRNA-Lys
Source: RNAcentral
AGCGGAUGGCCUAGUGGAUAAAGCGGUGGACUUUUGCUCCAUGGCUCCAGGGGUCACUGGUUAGAGCCCCGUUGAUGGUUA